UUUUGCCUGGAAGGGAGAGUCAGAAGAUGACUUUUGGUGGUGUAUUGAUAGAUGUGUGAAUGUGGAGGGCUGGCAGCCAAACAUGAUCUUGGAUGAUGGAGGGGAUCUUACCCACUGGAUUUAUAAAAAGUAUCCCAACAUGUUUAAGAAAAUCAAGGGCAUAGUAGAGGAGAGUGUUACUGGAGUUCAUAGGCUGUACCAACUGUCCAAAGCUGGGAAGCUGUGUGUUCCAGCCAUGAAUGUCAAUGACUCAGUCACCAAACAGAAAUUUGACAACCUCUACUGUUGCCGUGAAUCAAUUCUUGAUGGGUAAUGUUUAUUAUCUUUGAGAUGAAGUUGUGACGUCAAGUUGAGAUUCUAAGUUUUUUGGCUGUGGUUAUUUCUGGAAAGGAUUCAUGUAGCACCUCUGGAUAAUGUCUCCGUUAAGCCAGAGCUUUGUCACCUCGUAAAUUAAAAUUACAUUAUUUUUAUUUUCUCCUUUGUAUCUUUUCUAUUUCUAAAUAUUUUCAAAAUAUUAUCUAAUAAAUGUAUGUUGCUUUUAUGUUUAAAAGUUACUGUGUUAUCUACAUCUUCUUCCUUUCUGCACCACUUGCAAGAAA
RNAcentral lists this small RNA (599 nucleotides) under Pongo abelii (Sumatran orangutan). RNAcentral's name for it is "retained intron". The record is from RNAcentral. Lineage: Eukaryota; Metazoa; Chordata; Mammalia; Primates; Hominidae.